Molecule: small nuclear RNA, 381 nt
Filed under: Saimiri boliviensis boliviensis (Bolivian squirrel monkey)
Lineage: Eukaryota; Metazoa; Chordata; Mammalia; Primates; Cebidae
Description: 7SK RNA (ENSSBOG00000012937.1)
Rfam family: 7SK RNA
About the family: 7SK was discovered as an abundant small nuclear RNA in the mid-70s but a possible function has only recently been suggested.
Source: RNAcentral
GGAUGUGAGGGCAGUCUGGCUGUGACGUUACCCCAUUGAUCACCAGGGUUGAUUUGGCUGAUCUGGCUGGUUUGGCAGGUGUCCCCUUCCUCCCUCACCACUCCAUGUGCGUCCUUCAGUACUCCAUGUGGGUCCCUUUCUAGGCUGCGUGCCCCGUUGAAGAGGACGACCAACCCCAAUAGAGGAGGUAUGGUCUUCAGUUAAGGGUAUUAAGAGUAGCUGUGCUACCCUGCUAGAACCGCCAAACAAGCUCUCAAGGUCCAAACAGUGGAAAAUGAAAGUUCAGGUUGAUUCAUGUUGGCAAGUUUUUGUAUUAAAAAAAAAUUUAAAAACACAAAUGGGCUUAUACCAAUAAAGUUUCACCCUCCUCUCCCCUCCUCU